Molecule: long non-coding RNA, 1056 nt
Organism: Haemorhous mexicanus (house finch)
Lineage: Eukaryota; Metazoa; Chordata; Aves; Passeriformes; Fringillidae
Exons: 2
Source: RefSeq, a predicted model, not a curated record
ACCGGGCGCGGGGCAGGCAGCGGGCGGCGGUCAGCAGCCAGCCGGGGGCGAUCAGGCUCCCGCCGCAGACGUGGCCGCUGCCGGCCCGCAGCGGGUCCUGGAUGCUCGCCAGCCCCGGCCAGGCCCCGGGAACCGCCCCGGAGCCACCGCCGAACUCCUCGGCCAUGGGCUGGAGACCGCAGGGACACGGAGACAGGGACCCCCGACACGGGGACAGGGACACAGGGACAAGGACACCGGGACAGUGACACCUCGACAAGGGGACAGGGACCCCCAGUGCCACACGUGUCCCCUUGGCGGUGCCAGAGGCCGGCACGAGCACGGGGCUGUCACCCCCCCCCGGGCUGUGGUGACCUCGAGGACCCUCGGGGACCUUGAGGACCCUCAGGGGACUCUGGGGACCCUCAGGGGACCCCCGGGACGCCCCGGCCGCGGGCAGGUGUCACCUACUCGCAGGAGUCCCAGGUGGCCCGGGAGAGCGCGGCCGUGGCCAGCAGGACCAGGAGCCACAGCGGAGCCAUGCUGGGGACAGCGGGACAGCGGCAGCGCCCCGCGGGUUCCCGAGGGUCCCCGAGGGUCCCGCCGGUCCCGGGGCUGACGUCACAGAGCGGCGGGACCGUCACAGAGCGGUGGAACGGCGGGGAGGGACAGGAACGGCCCGGGAGGCUCCGAGCCAGCCUCGGGCACUGCCAGGAACUCCCAUCCCAAAAUCCCCAUCCCAGAACUGCAUUCCCAAAAUCCCCAUCCCAAAAUACCCAUCCCAGAACUGCAUUCCCGAAAUCCCCAUCCCAAAAUCCGCAUCCCAGAAUUUCCAUCCCAGAAUUUCCAUCCCAGAGUCCCCAUCCCAAAAUCCCCAUCCCAAAAUCCUCAUCCCAAAAUUCCUAUCCCAAAAAUUCAAUCCCAAAAUUCCCAUGCCAGAAUUGCAUUCCCAAAAUUCCCAUUCCAAAAUCCUCAUCCCAAAAUUCCCAUCCCAAAAUUUCAGUUUUCACGCCAAAAUCAUUUUCAUCCCAAAAAUUCCUGUUUGUAAACAGGGGAAUAAAUUUUCUCAACAUAAAA